UUUUUAAUGUGCAAUAUUAAGGCAGAGAUAAACAUAAGACAUAAGAAAAAUGUUUACUGUUAAAGUAAGGAAAACAAUAAAUCUUUUACCUAAAAACUAACGAAAAUAAAUUUGUGGAGCGUAAGAAUUGCUUUUUUUUUCGAGAAAAUUAAUCAAGAUAUAUUCUUAAAUUAUGUUUUCGUCCUUUAUCGAAGUUUCUUUCUAUAUUAAUAAGAUUUUAUUGUUUAAAACAUUCAUUUUCGGGUGUUGUUUUAUUUGAACCAUUUCAUUUCUCCAAAAUUAUUUUUUUGAAAAGUUUCUAAGUAAAUCAGUUGAAAAUGAAAUAAUAAAUAAUCGAAAGAUAAAAAUAACUCGAUAGUGUUUUUCUUCUGAAAAUAAAAGAAGAAAAAUUCGGUAGCAGAUCGCAUCAACGCGCAAGACACGAAAAGGAAAAACGAGAAAGUGAUUCAUAUUUGCGAUUAAUUGAAUUGUCAAAGCAGUUUAUCUCAACCACCAAUAAAGCAGAGGCCAAAGUUAAUUUUCCUUUUCGUCCGAAUUAGCCAGACUAUCCAAUUAUCUUUCCAACAUUAAUCGACCAAUUGAGUAGAGGCAAAACAUCUGGGCAAUUUUCUUUCAACAACUUUGUCUUUGACGUCACUGUAGAAAGGAUGUGGACUGAAAUAUGACCUCAAGAACGGUUUUAGACUAAACACGGCCAAAUAGAAGUGUAAGAAGAAUCUCUUCUAGCUCGUCGAGUAGUGUAGAAGUAGAUUUAGUUUUAAUCUCUUCAAGUGCUUGUAUAGAUCUUCUUACACCUCAUUAAGUUAUGACUCCUCUUUAAGCAAUAUGUUACCCAGAAAAAAAAAAAGAGCUAAAAUUGUUGUCGGAGAUCUGUAAAUGUUUUUUCCCCUCUCUUUACAGAAGCCAUAAAAAAUGCACAGCGGGUAUCUUAUUACGGAAGUCGCGUGCAUGUCUAAAAAAAAAAGAGCUAAAAUUGUUGUCGGAGAUCUGUAAAUGUUUUUUCCCCUCUCUUUACAGAAGCCAUAAAAAAUGCACAGCGGGUAUCUUAUUACGGAAGUCGCGUGCAUGUCUAAAAAAAGUUUUGUUUUAUUUUGGAUUGUAGUUAAGAAUUUCCGUAUCUACUUAUCAUCUUCUAAGUUUUGAGCAGAAGUAAAGCUUACCUAUUCAAAUAUAUACCCAAAAAAAAAAUUACUUCAUUAAGAAGAAAACUGCGAAUUUUAGAAAUUUUUGUUUGAUCUCUUUUUCUUGAUGCUCGUUUAAGAUGGAAUUAAUUAAUUCAAAUGUGAUGCAUGAGAUGUCCUGCAUAAGGAUGAAGUAAUGAUAUUUUUUUCAUGAUGAGUCAUAAGCAGAUGGGAAAUUUAUAAUCCUACAUUAAAGAAGGAAUGAAAACAUUCUUUGUGAAAGGAUAACCCAUGUUUACUCCCGAAGACAUGUGAGUGUAACAUAAUACAAGAUUAGCCGAGUGUAAUUCAGUCGUCUCGCCUCCUUUAAAGUUGACUUUGCUCUUUUCUACACUUUAUAUUGAAUCAACCAUAAUUACAUUCGUGUUUUCCGCAUUUUUACUCGACAUUUUCCCAUAAUUUUUUUUUGUAAAACAGUUUGUUUCCACGAUUUGAUCCGUGUCUCAGUUCUUUUCAUUCUUUCAACAUUCUUGUAGGCAGUUUUUAUAUAUGGUUACAUCUAAGACAUUUGCACGAAAUUAGUUUAUUUUUCGCGAAAUUUAUUGCCAUGGUUGUUUAUAACUUAUUAUAUGAACGAAUGUUUCGAAGAGCUCGAUAUUCACGAAUUCCAGAAAUAUUCUACGUGUUCUUUUGAAUCUUUCAAAAUUAGCUAAGUUCUCCGAAUCUUUCUUCUAACUAAAAGCUAGCUUGCUCUCCCGAAUCUUUCUUUAACUAAAAGUUAUUUAAUUCCUCUGAAUACUUCUAGUUAAAAGUUAGCUAAAAUGCUCUGAAUACUUGCUUGUAGCUAAGAAUUAGCAAGCUCCUCUGACUCUUUCUUCUAGUUAAAAAGUAGCUAGCUCCUCUGGAUCUUUCUUCUAAAAAGUUGACUAGAUCCUCUGAAUCUUUCUUCUAGCAAAAAGCUAGCUACGUUAUUUUUUUCUAGCUAGUUGUAGGCACGAUAUAAAUCAUAUUCGAUGGAAAAUACAAUAAAAAAUUACUCUUCAUUAAAGCUGAUGUAUCUGUAUAUAGAUAUUUAAGAUAUAUUCCGUACAGAUCUCUAUUUUAAAGUAAAAGAUUUAUAUGUCAUUAAGCUUCGUAACAUAAUUCUGUUUCAAUAGGCCAACCGUACAGAAUAAAUAAUGCAAAAAUAUUAGACCUAUAUAACCAUUCCUUUCAUUUAUUAUGCUUUUUUAUAUUAAAUAGCUGAUUUGCCUCUGCGGUUAGUUUUGUCACGUGCCAUAACUAUGUCACCGAUUCGAUACAUUUAAUUAAUUUAACCCAUAAACUUGAUACAUAAUUUAAUAAGCUUACGACAUUCUUAUAUCGACAUUCUCAAACAGAAUAUAACUCUUGCAAAUAGAGAUCGGUCUAUGUUUGAACAGUGUGCCGAUAUUCGAUAUUUGUCACCUUUAACAAUCCUUAAUCCCCUUGCAAAUCGUAUCGUUUUUAUAGGGUAUCAGGGAAAAAAAAUACUAAUGACUUAUUAAAUAAAGUGGUUCUUAGUCAACAGAUCUUUAUCUGGAUUUCUUUUCCAAAAAUCGAUUAAUGCCACAAACUCAGAUCGAAGAAGUGCAUUUCCUAGAAGCAAAGACCUAGAUAGACAUAUCAUGUACUCGCACACAAUGUAAUUUUCCGUAUUUAAAGAACGUAAUAAAUUUUUUAAUGGCGUAAUAAUUUACUAAGAAUAAAAUUAGAAAAUUUUAUAAUCUUCGCAUGUCUAUUCUAGAAUUUUAAUUUUGACCCAUCGAAUCGGACGUUUUUAAGACAAUUAGAGUCGUAACAGAUAAGAAUCUACUUUAUUAAGUGUGAUUUAUAGGUCGCAAUUUGAUGAUAAAAGAAAUGCUUAUUUACUCGAGAUAAUGUUGAAAAGGCAGCAUAAAUUUGUUGCAGGAUUUCAUCAGUGUUUGUAAAGAAAUUAAUUCUUUAUAUAUUUAUGCCAUUGGUACAGAUUUCGUUACUUAUUGAAGUCCUGCAACGUGGUGGAGAGCGAUAAACUUUGUUGUUACGUCAGAACAACUUAUUAUUUUUUCGUUUUUCGUAGCUUUAGAAUGUUUACACUAAUUAUAAAAUUAAACUAAUAGAAAAAAAUUGCGUAAAAAAAAUUAGAUAGGAAGUGGGAAGUUAGACUUAAUACCAAUUUUUACUCCCUAAUAAAAAAUUCAGAUGGAAUUGCAUAAAUAUUCAUUAAAAAUGGAACUGGUUUCAUUUAUUACUUUUCAUAAAAAUGAGAAUAACUCCCUAGGCUCAGGAAUUAGAAAUUUGGUUAUGGAAAUUUAUCUCAAAAAUAGAUAUAUCCAUACAAAGUGCUCUCCGUAUAUAUACAUUUUCCUCUUGUACAAAAAUGUCCUUGUUCUACAAGAAACAAUAAUUUCCGAAAAACGAAAGUCGUUUAGCUUUUAGAUCCAAGUUAAUUCGUUUUGUCUCAUAAUUCAGAAACGAGAGACAGAUAUUGCUACAAAGAGCUAUUCGCCCGUUUCUAAUUUCAGAUGUUCGGAAUGAAACAAAAACGAAUAAAAAAAAAUAUAUAUCCAAAAAAAAAUCUUAUCCAUAAGAGGAGGAAAAUAAAUAUCAGGUUUUUGUCCGACUAACAUUUUCAAACGUUCAUUUCUCAUCUUUGAUGGAUGAAAAAUAAUUUCUCUCUCUCUCUCUCUCUCUUUCUGUUGAUAGCAUACAAUAUAUUUAAUAAGAGAU
Molecule: long non-coding RNA, 3851 nt
Filed under: Androctonus crassicauda
Lineage: Eukaryota; Metazoa; Arthropoda; Arachnida; Scorpiones; Buthidae
Source: RNAcentral